Molecule: small nucleolar RNA, 78 nt
Filed under: Periophthalmus magnuspinnatus
Lineage: Eukaryota; Metazoa; Chordata; Actinopteri; Gobiiformes; Gobiidae
Description: Small nucleolar RNA SNORD111 (ENSPMGG00000011603.1)
Source: RNAcentral
UGCUGUAAAAGUGAUGAGCUCUUCAUGUCUCUUCUCUGACUAAACUUUGAAGAAGACUAAACACCUCUGAUCUCAGCA